AGAGUUUGAUCAUGGCUCAGAACGUACGCUGGCGGCACGCCUAACACAUGCAAGUCGAACGAAGUAGCAAUACUUAGUGGCAGACGGGUGAGUAACAUGUAGGUAUCUACCCUUUGGCCUGGAAUAACACGAGGAAACUUGUGCUAAUACCGGAUAAGUCUUUACGGAGAAAGCUUUAUGCACCAUUGGAUGAGCCUGCACUUGAUUAGUUUGUUGGUAGGGUAAUGGCCUACCAAGACUUUGAUCAAUAGCUGAUUUGAGAGGAUGAUCAGCCACAUUGGGACUGAGACACGGCCCAAACUCCUACGGGAGGCAGCAGUGGGGAAUCUUGCACAAUGGAGGAAACUCUGAUGCAGCGAUGCCGCGUGAGUGAAGAAGGCCUUUGGGUUGUAAAGCUCUUUCGUCGGGGAAGAAAAUGACUGUACCCGAAUAAGAAGGUCCGGCUAACUUCGUGCCAGCAGCCGCGGUAAUACGAAGGGACCUAGCGUAGUUCGGAAUUACUGGGCUUAAAGAGUUCGUAGGUGGUUGAAAAAGUUGGUGGUGAAAUCCCAGAGCUUAACUCUGGAACUGCCAUCAAAACUUUUCAGCUAGAGUUUGAUAGAGGAAAGCAGAAUUUCUAGUGUAGAGGUGAAAUUCGUAGAUAUUAGAAAGAAUACCAAUUGCGAAGGCAGCUUUCUGGAUCAUUACUGACACUGAGGAACGAAAGCAUGGGUAGCGAAGAGGAUUAGAUACCCUCGUAGUCCAUGCCGUAAACGAUGUGUGUUAGACGUUGGAAAUUUAUUUUCAGUGUCGCAGCGAAAGCGAUAAACACACCGCCUGGGGAGUACGACCGCAAGGUUAAAACUCAAUGAAUUGACGGGACCCGCACAAGUAGUGGAGCAUGUGGUUUAAUUCGAAGAUACGCGCAGAACCUUACCAACACUUGACAUGUUCGUUGCGACUUUAAGAGAUUAAAGUUUUCGGUUCGGCCGGACGAAACACAGGUGCUGCAUGGCUGUCGUCAGCUCGUGUCGUGAGAUGUUGGGUUAAGUCCCGCAACGAGCGCAACCCUCACUUUUAGUUGCCAUCAUUUAGUUGGGCACUCUGAAAGAACUGCCAGUGAUAAGCUGGAGGAAGGUGGGGAUGACGUCAAGUCCUCAUGGCCCUUACGUGUUGGGCUACACACGUGCUACAAUGGUAUCUACAACAGGAAGCAAAACGGCGACGUUAAGCAAAUCCUUAAAAGAUACCUCAGUUCGGAUUGUACUCUGCAACUCGAGUACAUGAAGCUGGAAUUACUAGUAAUCGUGGAUCAGCGUGCCACGGUGAAUGCGUUCCCGGGUCUUGUACACACCGCCCGUCACACCAUGGGAGUUGGUUCUACCUUAAGGCAAGGUUUAAAACCCUUGACCACGGUAUAGUCAGCGACUGGGGUGAAGUCAUAACAAGGUAGCCGUA
Molecule: ribosomal RNA, 1437 nt
Filed under: uncultured bacterium
Lineage: Bacteria
Description: bacterial SSU rRNA
Rfam family: Bacterial small subunit ribosomal RNA
Source: RNAcentral